Equus caballus (horse) is the source of this 3214-nucleotide long non-coding RNA. NCBI's taxonomy places the organism in Eukaryota, Metazoa, Chordata, Mammalia, Perissodactyla, Equidae. The record is from Ensembl.
GGAAACACAGACGAAGAUCCAGAACAGUGCUGUUCAAUGGAACAUUAUGUAACAAUGGAAACGUUCUAUGCCUUGCUGCCCAGUCCUGUGGCCGCUAGUAACGCAUACGAAUGGGCACCUGAAAUGUGCCUGGUGGGACCGAGCGAUUGAAUGCUAAUUCCGUUUAGUGCGGUCCCCCGACUGGAUCCUGGGACAGUAGUGGAAACACUGCUGAAAUCUGAAUGGAGCCUGGAGUGAGUGGGGAGUGACGUCACGGAGUGUUAGUUCUGGCAGGUGGACCACAGUAACGUUUUUCCUAGACGUUAAAGUCAGACACUUAUACCUUCUCUGAUCAAGGACAAGAGCAUACUUGAACCCUUGUUGGUUCCGGCCUUCGUAUGUUUGGGAACCGCAGCUGGAGAGGAGGCAAGCUCUUCAGCUGCUCGGAAGCACGAUGGGAAGCGAAGAGCACUCGAGAGCAUGCAUCCUGGGGGCCAACAAACCUUCAUUCUGCAUCCCAUUUCUACCACAUCCUGGCUGCAAGAAUCUGGAGAAAACCUGCUCAUGCUUCCGUGAACCUCCGUUUUCUAAUCUGUAAAACGUGAAUGAUGAUUCUCACAGUGCUGGGGGAAGAAGUGUGCUUGAAAUUAAAGCAUUCAUUCUUAAGACCUGAUACACCCUGACAACUACCAUUUCCUGACACCCACCGUUAAUCUCCCAAGUGGAAGAAUCUUGAACCACAUACUGGUUGAGCUAGGAAACGGGGAGAAAAAAGACCUAACUCUCAACGACUUAAUUUUGAGACUCCAGCCAGAAAUUACAUAGCAACAGUAAACCCAAACCUGAGAAAAGUCUGGAACCUCUGUUUUGGGUCCCAGUUUUGUCCUUGGUAAAAGUCCAUAGGUAUUGAGGCUAAAGGUCAGCAUUUCCUGAUAGGAAAAGGAAACCUUGGGAUCAGUCAGUGUGUCUGUUUCAAUAGGAGCAUCACAGGAACCUAAUGAGGUCUUCCAGCUGUGUCAGGACCAUCAAACAAAGUGCAGGGAACGUAAGUGCAUCAUGACUCUCUGGGUUUUGGGGCUGACGGCAGCCACACCAGCCCCAGGGCCACGUGACAUCUGCCUUCCUGAGCAUUGUCCCUGCCGUGAGUAAAUAAUGGCUCCUUAAUCAAAACCAGACUGCGCCUCUUGGCCCAGCCAGCACCUCGCCGGCACCAGCCUUCCCCUCUGCCUGUGAGCUUUUGAGCCGGGGGUCCAGGGGGUCUUUGUCUACACGUUCCAAAGCCAGCUUCUUAGAGAGCUGCCUCUGUCUAGUUUCCUUCUCGGCACCAGCCAGCCCGUCUGUCGGAGGGCAGCAGGAAGUGGGGAGGCAAGAUGCUGAGGACCACCUCUCUGUCCCCAAUCCCAAGGGCCUGCUGGCCAUCUCUGGCCCUGCUCCGUUCUGUGGGAUUAUUCCAAGGCUGGGAUGUAGGGUGUGAGGAGAGAAUUUGAGAAGCAUUUGCUUCUGUGCUUUCUGGAAUACCCUUAAUGGUGGGGGAGAGUGAAGACACGCUCUUUUCUUAAAUAACACAAUUGACUGACUAAACCAUGUUAAACUCAGCUGACUUCAUGCCAGCUGGUCCUAUUGUCCUGGUGUGGGUGGCAGGGCUCGUGGAGCCAACCAGAAUGGCGUGAAGCAGCCUCCAGCAUCAGCCGCUUGGACCAGAAAUUCCAGCAACCCCUCGCCCCACCCCCAGGAGGGCUGCAGAGUCGCUGGGGUCUGCUGGACCACUUUCUCUGCUUCUUCUGAGACAAGAAGCUGGCAUCAGACCUUCUUUCCUGAGGGGGGCCUGGGCCCACCUGCGCAUUCCAAGGAGAGCCCUGCUUUCUCUGGGCUCCCGUUGGUACCCAAGGACCGACUGGCAGGAUCUGGCCAGCACGCAGCCCCUCCAGCAGGACCUCGGUCCCUGCCUCUGCAGGAGACACGAGUGGACAGACUGGGUCACCCCCUCUCACUGAGACUGGCGAUCCCACCUCCCACCUCCCCAUCUCCAGUGCCCACCUCGCGCUCUCCUGCGUCACUUCUGGCAGAACCGUCUCCCCUUGCUUGCUUGUUUGCCUGCCGAAGUGCCCGCCCUGGGGCUAUAGCACUGAGCAGCCCCCCAUCGCAAUUAGGAACUGCCUUUGAAGACAUGAACGUGAAAAAUUUGUGUCCAACCUCUGAGUAUGCCCCUCUUGUGCAUCCCUGGCAAUGUCACUCUCCACAAACUUAUUCACCUUUCUGCCUCAGUUUGUUCAUCUGUAAAAUGGGGAUAAUAGUACCCAUCUCACUGGCUCAUUGUGAGGAUUAAAUAAGUGAUAUUUUAUGAAGCACUGAGAACAGCGCUCGGCACCGUAGGUUGUGGUUGGCUAAAGAAAACCCCAUUAAAUCCUCACGGAAGGACUGUUGUCCUGCUCUUACUAAUAAGGGAACAGAGCUGGGGUCUCUGUGCCUCACAGAUCACGUAGUAAGGGGCAGGCUCCGAAUCCAACUUCUGAGCCCAGGCAGUCAGACUCCAGUGUCCGCCGCGCGCCCCGUUGAAUAUCGUGCCUCGCUGGUUUGAUGGUGACUUGGCGCAAGAUGGUUUUUGUCUCUGAACGUGAUCAUUUUGUGUUCUGCAGCCACACGAUCCAUCAACCUCAACACUAUCCCUUCAGACGACUGACCUGUUAGCCCAGGACUCCUCGGCCAGUCUACUGUCCUAUGAUUACCAACGAUAAACAAUGGCUUCAGCUUUCCACCAGUCCGUUAAACAGCGGGUGGCGAGAGCUGAUGUCUUAGGAAGGUGGACCGUGUUAAUCCCAGCCCCGUGCCAACUGGUCGUAUUGGAACAACUAACGUUUAUAUUGGACUUACUAGGUGUCGAGCACUCUUCUAAGGUCUUUGCAUGUGUAGCUUCUCUGGGCCUCGAUUUCCCCAUCUGCGAUACGGGAAGGGGGCGUUGUUUCGAGGAUUGAGUUCACUUGUCUGAGUUGCACAUAGUAAGAGGCAGAACUAGAUGUUGAGGCCUGGCCUUCUGGCUCCUGGUCUGUGCUCCUGACCAGCCCUCUUGGGACCAGCGAGCAUCCCCCCCCCAACCCUUCGUCUCCAAGUCUUCUCUGAAAGCCAAGUGCACCACGGGGCCCGGGCGAGAUGGGUGCGUCUGGCAGCGGGCAGUGCGUUUGUUAUUCCUGCCCCACCUGCUGGAGUGAGGGUGGCUUGGUCUGAAGAGGACAUUGAG